This 3457-nucleotide ribosomal RNA is filed under the name Roseovarius aestuarii. RNAcentral's name for it is "Bacterial large subunit ribosomal RNA". It matches the Rfam family "Bacterial large subunit ribosomal RNA". The record is from Rfam by way of RNAcentral. Lineage: Bacteria; Pseudomonadati; Pseudomonadota; Alphaproteobacteria; Rhodobacterales; Roseobacteraceae.
AAUCAAGCGCGAGAAGGGCGUUUGGUGAAUGCCUUGGCAGUAAGAGGCGAUGAAAGACGUGAUACUCUGCGAUAAGCCAUGGGGAGCUGAGAAUAAGCUUUGAUCCAUGGAUUUCUGAAUGGGGCAACCCACCUGACAGUUUGUUAUAAUUGCCCUCGGGCAGCUUAUAACUUGCUGAAACAGGUACUUAAGAACUGAAUACAUAGGUUUUUAAGAGCAAACCCGGAGAACUGAAACAUCUAAGUACCCGGAGGAAAGGACAUCAAUUGAUACUCCCCUAGUAGCGGCGAGCGAACGGGGACCAGCCGAGCCAUGAGUGUGAAUAGAACGUGUUGGGAAGCACGGCCAUAGUGGGUGACAGCCCCGUAUAUGAAGCAUGAUUGGACGUAUUAAGUAGGGCGGAACACGUGAAAUUCUGUCUGAAGAUCGGAGGACCACCUUCGAAGGCUAAGUACUCCUUACUGACCGAUAGUGAACCAGUACCGUGAGGGAAAGGUGAAAAGCACCCCGACGAGGGGAGUGAAACAGUACCUGAAACCGAACGCCUACAAUCAGUCGGAGCUUGACUGGACUCUAAUGACAAUCUGCUUCAUCAACGUGAUUAAUGAAUCGCGGAUGGAGCAAAACGUGUCAGACCUAGCUUUUAUAACAGAUGGUACAGCUGCAGUAGUUUUCCUGAUAGCAGGACUAAUUGAUGCAGGUGUAAAUCACUGCCCAAACGAGGGCUGCUUCGCCAAAAACGAAGUGCAAUCAUAUAACAGCAUAUCGGUCGGAAACACGUAUUUUCAGGAAGACGAAGUUGGAGAAGAAUUCUACUUCCGGCGGGAAACGGGCGUUGCAGACGGUCCUUUCCAGCGGAUUUGGGGUAUAUCCGCCUCAUCUGACGGCGAACUUUGGGCUGGUGUGGGUCAUGCCUACACGCUCACGAACCGCAAGCAGAACCUUUUCCUGCAGCUCAACGCCAUGACCGGCCUUUAUGAAGAAGGCAGUGGCGUCGAUCUGGGCGGACCCAUUGAAUUUCGAUCGGGCCUGUCGGUCGGAUAUCAGAACAAAGCCGGUGUUCGCAUGAGCCUGAGCGUCGAUCACAGAUCGAACCUCGGGAUCUACAGCGACAAUCCUGGUCUGGAAACCGUCCAAUUCCGGGUCUCAAUUCCCACCAAAUAACCCCACUACAGGGUUGUCAUUAGUGUCCAGUCUUGUGACGGCGUACCUUUUGUAUAAUGGGUCAUCGACUUGGUCUAUCUAGCAAGCUUAAGCCGUUAGGUGUAGGCGCAGCGAAAGCGAGUCUUAAUAGGGCGAAUGAGUUAGGUGGAUCAGACCCGAAACCGAGUGAUCUAGGCAUGGCCAGGUUGAAGGUAAGGUAACACUUACUGGAGGACCGAACCCACAUCUGUUGAAAAAGAUCGGGAUGAGCUGUGCCUAGGGGUGAAAGGCCAAUCAAACUCGGAGAUAGCUGGUUCUCUGCGAAAUCUAUUUAGGUAGAGCGUCAUCCGAAUACCCUCGGGGGUAGAGCACUGGAUGGGUAAUGGGGCCCCACAGGCUUACUGAUCCUAACCAAACUCCGAAUACCGAGGAGUACUAGAUGGCAGACACACUGCGGAUGCUAACGUCCGUAGUGGAGAGGGAAACAACCCUGACCUACAGCUAAGGCCCCCAAUUCAUGGCUAAGUGGGAAAGCAGGUGGGACGACCAAAACAACCAGGAGGUUGGCUUAGAAGCAGCCAUCCUUUAAAGAUAGCGUAACAGCUCACUGGUCUAAAUAAGUUAUCCUGCGGCGAAGAUGUAACGGGGCUCAAGCCAUGAGCCGAAGCUUAGGAUGCCGUAAGGCAUGGUAGCAGAGCGUAGUGUGACAUAGUUCCAUUCCUCCUUAGUACCGUUCGCGGUGCAUUGGAGGAGCGGAGCUUUCGAUGAAGCCGGCGCGUGAGCGAUCCGGUGGAGAGAUCACUAGUGAGAAUGAUGACAUGAGUAGCGACAAAGAGUGUGAGAGACACUCUCGCCGAAAGUCCAAGGGUUCCUGCUUAAAGCUAAUCUGAGCAGGGUAAGCCGACCCCUAAGUCGAGGCCGAAAGGCGUAGACGAUGGGAACUGGGUUAAUAUUCCCAGGCCAGGAGGAAUGUGACGGAUCGUGAAGAUUGUUCACCCUUAUCGGAUUGGGUGGGCCGUUAAUCGGUUCCUGGAAAUAGCACCUCCAUUAGAUCGUACCCUAAACCAACACAGGUGGACUGGUAGAGAAUACCAAGGCGCUUGAGAGAACGAUGUUGAAGGAACUCGGCAAAAUACCUCCGUAAGUUCGCGAGAAGGAGGCCCAGUUUCUACGCAAGUAUUGGCUGGGGGCACAAACCAGGGGGUGGCGACUGUUUACUAAAAACACAGGGCUCUGCGAAGUCGCAAGACGACGUAUAGGGUCUGACGCCUGCCCGGUGCCUGAAGGUUAAAAGGAGAGGUGAGAGCCUUGAAUUGAAGCCCAGGUAAACGGCGGCCGUAACUAUAACGGUCCUAAGGUAGCGAAAUUCCUUGUCGGGUAAGUUCCGACCUGCACGAAUGGCGUAACGACUUCCCCGCUGUCUCCAACAUCGACUCAGCGAAAUUGAAUUACCUGUCAAGAUGCAGGUUUCCCGCGGUUAGACGGAAAGACCCCGUGCACCUUUACUACAGCUUCACAUUGGCAUUAGGCCGAACAUGUGCAGGAUAGGUGGUGGGCUUUGAAUCGGUGACGCCAGUCAUCGUGGAGCCACCCUUGAGAUACCACCCUUGUUCUGCUUGAUGUCUAACCGCGGUCCGUUAUCCGGAUCCGGGACCCUGUGUGGCGGGUAGUUUGACUGGGGCGGUCGCCUCCUAAAGCGUAACGGAGGCGCGCGAAGGUUGGCUCAGAGCGGUCGGAAAUCGCUCGUUGAGUGCAAUGGCAGAAGCCAGCCUGACUGCGAGACUGACAAGUCGAGCAGAGUCGAAAGACGGCCAUAGUGAUCCGGUGGUCCCGAGUGGAAGGGCCAUCGCUCAACGGAUAAAAGGUACGCCGGGGAUAACAGGCUGAUACUGCCCAAGAGUCCAUAUCGACGGCAGUGUUUGGCACCUCGAUGUCGGCUCAUCUCAUCCUGGGGCUGGAGCAGGUCCCAAGGGUACGGCUGUUCGCCGUUUAAAGAGGUACGUGAGCUGGGUUUAGAACGUCGUGAGACAGUUCGGUCCCUAUCUGCCGUGGGUGUAGGAUACUUGAGAGGAGUUGCCCCUAGUACGAGAGGACCGGGGUGAACGAACCACUGGUGGACCAGUUGUCGUGCCAACGGCAGUGCUGGGUAGCUAUGUUCGGACAGGAUAACCGCUGAAGGCAUCUAAGCGGGAAGCCCCCCUCAAAACAAGGUAUCCCUGAGGACCGUGGUAGACCACCACGUCGAUAGGCCGGAGAUGUAAGCGCAGCAAUGCGUUCAGUUGACCGGUACUAAUUGUCCGAUAGGCUUGAUUUG